UACGUGGGUGGCAAGCGUUGUCCGGAUUUACUGGGCGUAAAGGGCGUGCAGGCGGUCUGUUAAGUUCAGGGUGAAAGCUCUCGGCUAAACCGGGAGAGGUCGUUGGAUACUGGCUGACUAGAGGACGGUAGAGGCGUGUGGAAUUCCGGGUGUAGUGGUGAAAUGCGUAGAGAUCCGGAGGAACACCAGUGGCGAAGGCGACACGCUGGGCCGUACCUGACGCUAAAGCGCGACAGCAUGGGGAGCAAACGGG
Molecule: ribosomal RNA, 253 nt
Filed under: uncultured bacterium
Lineage: Bacteria
Description: partial 16S ribosomal RNA
Rfam family: Bacterial small subunit ribosomal RNA
Source: RNAcentral